GAUCUAUACCGGUGCAAUGGAAUUGGUGAUGAUGGACUCUAUGCUUUAUCAAGUGGUUGCAAAAGAAUGCAGAAGUUAAACUUUUCUUAUUGCAGUGAGGUUACUGAUAGAGGACUUGAGUGUCUCAGCCAUCUACCAGAGCUCUCUGACCUCGAGAUGCGGAGUCUUUUGAAUGUCACAGGCACUGGUUUAACAGCACUUGCUAUGGGGUGCAAGAAACUUGCUGAGCUGGAUGUGAAAGACUGUACUAGCAUUGAUG
Molecule: unclassified non-coding RNA, 259 nt
Filed under: Hevea brasiliensis (rubber tree)
Lineage: Eukaryota; Viridiplantae; Streptophyta; Magnoliopsida; Malpighiales; Euphorbiaceae
Source: RNAcentral